UUCAAGGCUUGACAUAAAGGAAAUAUACAGAGAAACCAUGUUGUCUACAAUUGGUAAAAUCUCAUGUGAAGGCUUAUGAGGUAUGAUAGAGCUACAGGCACUAACACCACAGUACAUACUGGACAGCUGCAUUGGAUUGAGAAUAACAGGCCAGAAGUGAGACACUACAACGGUGCCAAGUUUGGGCCACAUUCAAUGACAGAACACUGUAUAUAAAAUAAUGGGUGCCAAGACCUGAGUUCGACAGUGGGGCGAUUGCUACCUUCCAUUCUGUCGAGACGUUUUUACAUCGCCACAACCUGCACUGGGGCAGGGAAUAAGGGCUGUUUCAGGGACUUAUUUCUGAACACCAUUCGUCACAUAGCCAUUCAGAAGAACCCUGCAACCUGGGAUGCCACAGAUGAGGGGGUCCAGAUUCAUGUCACCCGUUACCCGAAAGGGACCUCCGAUUGCGAAGGCGGGAGGCGACGGCGCACAAGGAAGAGGGAUCCGAUGCAGUGUGGGUCAACUUCAAGUCUCAGACAGCCUGUCUCAAAGCCACCACCUUCUUAUGUCACCUCACUGCACUACUAAUGUAUAUACUUUCAUAUAACUAUGCUGUAUGGUGUGUACCUUAUUCCACUCACAAUGUACAUGGGCAAACAAUGUCCAUACUAUUAUCCCAAAAGUUUUUAUUUGUAUUUUUUAUCUGCAUGCCUCAUACUUGAUUUAGUCGUUUUCUUAGUGUUAUGUAAAUGCAAUGUCAGUUAUUUGACUGCUUUUCUAUGUUACUUAUUUGAUAUACUAUGUCACUUUUGUCACCAUUGCACUGUGUGAGAAGCUUGCAAAUACAUGACAAUAAAAUUCGAUUUGACUGGAUUUGGAUUGGUCAUCACCAGUGGAUCCAGGUG
Oncorhynchus tshawytscha (Chinook salmon) is the source of this 890-nucleotide long non-coding RNA. NCBI's taxonomy places the organism in Eukaryota, Metazoa, Chordata, Actinopteri, Salmoniformes, Salmonidae. The record is from Ensembl.